GUCACCCUACGGGGCGCAGCAGUAGGGAAUCUUCCACAAUGGACGAAAGUCUGAUGGAGCAACGCCGCGUGAGAGAAGAAGGGUUUCGGCUCGUAAAGCUCUGUUGGUAGUGAAGAAAGAUAGAGGUAGUAACUGGCCUUUAUUUGACGGUAAUUACUUAGAAAGUCACGGCUAACUACGUGCCAGUAGCCGCGGUAAUACGUAGGUGGCAAGCGUUGUCCGGAUUUAUUGGGCGUAAAGCGAGUGCAGGCGGUUCCAUAAGUCUGAUGUGAAAGCCUUCGUCUCAAACGGAGA
RNAcentral lists this ribosomal RNA (294 nucleotides) under uncultured bacterium. RNAcentral's name for it is "partial 16S ribosomal RNA". It matches the Rfam family "Bacterial small subunit ribosomal RNA", at positions 333 to 619 of the family's 1533-position model. The record is from RNAcentral.